This 1124-nucleotide ribosomal RNA is filed under the name Burkholderia gladioli. RNAcentral's name for it is "bacterial SSU rRNA". It matches the Rfam family "Bacterial small subunit ribosomal RNA", at positions 94 to 1220 of the family's 1533-position model. Lineage: Bacteria; Pseudomonadati; Pseudomonadota; Betaproteobacteria; Burkholderiales; Burkholderiaceae. The record is from RNAcentral.
AGUGGCUAACGGGUGAGUAAUACAUCGGAACAUGUCCUGUAGUGGAGGAUAGCCCGGCGAAAGCCGGAUUAAUACCGCAUACGAUCCACGGAUGAAAGCGGGGGCCCUUCGGGCCUCGCGCUAUAGGGUUGGCCGAUGGCUGAUUAGCUAGUUGGUGGGGUAAAGGCCCACCAAGGCGACGAUCAGUAGCUGGUCUGAGAGGACGACCAGCCACACUGGGUCUGAGACACGGCCCAGACUCCUACGGGAGGCAGCAGUGGGAAAUUUUGGACAAUGGGCGAAAGCCUGAUCCAGCAAUGCCGCGUGUGUGAAGAAGGCCUUCGGGUUGUAAAGCACUUUUGUCCGGAAAGAAAUCCUGAGGGCUAAUAUCCUUCGGGGAUGACGGUACCGGAAGAAUAAGCACCGGCUAACUACGUGCCAGCAGCCGCGGUAAUACGUAGGGUGCGAGCGUUAGUCGGAAUUACUGGGCGUAAAGCGUGCGCAGGCGGUUUGUUAAGACCGAUGUGAAAUCCCCGGGCUCAACCUGGGAACUGCAUUGGUGACUGACAGGCUAGAGUAUGGCAGAGGGUGGUAGAAUUCCACGUGUAGCAGUGAAAUGCGUAGAGAUGUGGAGGAAUACCGAUGGCGAAGGCAGCCCCCUGGGCCAAUACUGACGCUCAUGCACGAAAGCGUGGGGAGCAAACAGGAUUAGAUACCCUGGUAGUCCACGCCCUAAACGAUGUCAACUAGUUGUUGGGGAUUCAUUUCCUUAGUAACGUAGCUAACGCGUGAAGUUAACCGCCUGGGGAGUACGGUCGCAAGAUUAAAACUCAAAGGAAUUGAAGGGGACCCGCUCAAGGGGUGGCUGAUGUGGAUUAAUUCGAUGCAACGCGAAGAUCCUUACCUACCCUUGACAUGGUCGGAAUCCUAAAGAGAUUUGGGAGUGCUCGAAAGAGAACCGAUACACAGGUGCUGCAUGGCUGUCGUCAGCUCGUGUCGUGAGAUGUUGGGUUAAGUCCCGCAACGAGCGCAACCCUUGUCCUUAGUUGCUACGCAAGAGCACUCUAGGGAGACUGCCGGUGACAAACCGGAGGAAGGUGGGGAUGACGUCAAGUCCUCAUGGCCCUUAUGGGUAGGGCUUCACA